This is a non-coding RNA of Pholiota molesta, 107 nucleotides long. NCBI's taxonomy places the organism in Eukaryota, Fungi, Basidiomycota, Agaricomycetes, Agaricales, Strophariaceae. The record is from the annotation of a GenBank genome assembly.
GGGCACAUGGUGUAGUUGGUUAUCACGCUCGCUUAGCAUCUGUUCGCGUCCUUAUGGUCGUUGGCUUGGUUUGCGAGAGGUGUUGGGUUCAAUUCCCAAUGCGUCCA